RNAcentral lists this ribosomal RNA (441 nucleotides) under uncultured bacterium. RNAcentral describes it as "partial 16S ribosomal RNA". It matches the Rfam family "Bacterial small subunit ribosomal RNA", at positions 338 to 795 of the family's 1533-position model. The record is from RNAcentral.
CCUACGGGUGGCAGCAGUGGGGAAUAUUGCACAAUGGGGGGAACCCUGAUGCAGCGACGCCGCGUGAGUGAAGAAGUAUUUCGGUAUGUAAAGCUCUAUCAGCAGGAACGAGACAAGACGGUACCUGACUAAGAAGCCCCGGCUAACUACGUGCCAGCAGCCGCGGUAAUACGUAGGGGGCAAGCGGUAUCCGGAAUCACUGGGUGGAAAGGGAGCGUAGACGGCUGAGCAAGUCUGAAGUGAAAGGCGGGGGCCCAACCCCCGGACUGCUUUGGGAACUGUACGGCUGGAGUGCAGGAGAGGUAAGUGGAAUUCCUAGUGUAGCGGUGAAAUGCGUAGAUAUUAGGAGGAACACCAGUGGCGAAGGCGGCUUACUGGACUGUAACUGACGUUGAGGCUCGAAAGCGUGGGGAGCAAACAGGAUUAGAUACCCUAGUAGUC